GCGAUGAAUAAGCGACACAUUUGAUAAUAAUAAAAAUUGCAUUACACGCUAGAUGGAUUAGAUUAAUCGUUGAUUGGUAUCUUGCAAACUAUAAUAGAUACAGAUACGCCUUAUGAAAUUAAAUGGAUCACUCUAAGACCAGGUUGUCGGCUAUUAGAAAAAUUCUAAUUUUAGUCGCAGCUGAUAUAUCAAGCGGAGAAUUCAUCGCGAGAGGUGUGUGUGGAACGGGUUGGAAUUCAGCGAUGCGCCGUUUUUGUUAAUCAAAUUUUCCCGCCGUUUCUCGCGGGAUACGUUGAAUCCGUCUCCAUUUUGAAUCUCGAGUCCGUCCGUCGAACGUUCGUGGUUUGAGGAUAUCUUUGGAGAAUCGAGAUUCUGAAGAAUACAAAAGUUGAUGCAGGCGACAAUAAAAUAAUUAUUCUUCCCGAAAUCUCCUUCAAUUACGGCCACGGAACGCAGGAGUGGUGCCUUGUAACUGUCGAGAGCGUUUAACAAGGGCCACGUGUGUAAGACAAUUCACGAUGGUUGUUACGGCUCGGGAUUCCCUGUGUGUUGGAACGGUGAACGACAAACAACAGGAUCCAGGUUGCCUCUGUUUCUGCCCACGCAACGGCCAACAAACGUCAGAACGAUAAUCCGGAUGAAAUUAAAGCGUGGAAUUAACGGUGUCGGGUAAAAUAUCGGCGAUACAAUGCGGGAGAAGAAAAUGGAGGCCGAUUAUUGGAGGUGAUAAAAAUUCAUUAUGGGCCCUUGUGUAUUCCCUCCGUUGAAAAUUGAUGGCUGAUGGUAUCGAGUAGUAUAACAGGUUAUUUCGAAGAUUGUUAAAUUAAUAAAUAAAUUUAUUAAGGCUUAUCAUUUGUCCGUUAAGAUUUCUCGGAAAUUGAAUAAUUAUUUUAAUCUUGGAAAAUUGAAUCGAUAAAAAUAUUGCACUUCUCCAAUGUUAAUUCUCCGUAUCAACAAACACGUAAGAUCAUCGCAACGUGUCAUAAAUCACAGCUUGACAAGAAAAUUACAAGCGAAAUGUUUGACUUUACUAAAGAGUCCGUUUGUAAUAUCGCGACUAAUCUUUUACGUCUUGCAGAAAAGAAGCCAAAUGGACCCUUUGACAUCCAGUUCCAGAGCAACGAAACAAGGAACCAAACAGUCAUCAAAGUGAAAUGCCAGUUGUCCAACGUCUCGCCAAAGGGUGAUUAAUGUACACGGAAGAAGGAGAAGAAAAACGUAGAAUAAAAUAAGUAAGAAGAUGGCUAAGUCUCUUUCAGAUGUUCAAUGUAUUAAACAAAUUUAAUAGGAUGUUUCACGUGAUAUAUUAUACAAACUUAAGAGGACCUUUAAGAUGAUAUGAUACACAAACUCGAUAGGAUCUUUGAGACGAAUCCAUAAGAAUUCAAACAACGUGCAAAUUCGCAACAAAUUUUAUAUAAAAUAUAGAGCCUUUCGCCAUAUCCAUUGUACAAAACAGGAUAAUACGAAUAUUACUGUAUGAAGGCUCAAGAGAAGCAGUACGAUAAACAAAAGAAACGUAACAAGAAAAAAAGAAAAGGAAAUAUUCUCCUUAAUCUGGUCAUAAAUCCAGCGUAAUCCAAAUUCGCCUGGCGGAUUGUUGCGCUCUCGUGCGAUUAAAUAUUAACAACGGGAGGCCGAUUGCGUAAUUAAAAGGGUAUUCGUGCUAUUACGGCCCAAGUCGCAUGCGGAAACGAGCGUGCAAACCGAGCUGCAAACGGGAUCCGUGGUAACUUCCUUAUCUGGCUUUUCGAUUUUCCCUAACUUUGAAAUCUAACUAAAGGGACUAAGUUUGGUCGCAACUUUCCACGCCGCCGCCAUUUUGCCGUCGAUACGCGGAAUCGAGCGUUAUUUCACUUUAAACCCUUGAAAAUGGGCCUCAGCAGGUAGAUGAGACGAUAUAUUUCAACGUUUCGAUCGAGUUAUGAAUAAAUUGUAAUAUUUUCUUCAAUUUUUGUAGAGGAAAGGCAAGGAAAAUUUUUUUGAAUUAAAGGAAAAUUGAAGGAAAAUUAAAGAAUUAGCUAAGGAAUGAUAAGAUUACGUUGUUAUUACAAUGCCAUAUUGUACAGAAUUAUCAAUGUAGGUUAUGUUGAAAUAGAUAAAAGUUAUCGACUAAAUGGCAGCAAUCUGAAAAAUAAGGAAUAUUAAAGUAAUUAUUCUGCUCAUUAAUUAUUUAAUUUGUUGUUACAUAAAAAAAAUUAUUGAAGCUAUUGUUUCAAUUAUUCUUCUAAUCUUGAGUUGAAAAUCAUUGAAGUCAAAUUAAUCAAAGAAUGAAAUAAUGAUCGAUUGUUAUUUCCUCGAAAGGAUAAAAAUUCUCUUGGUUCAAUUAUUUCUCGAUGACACGACGAUUAUCAAAUAGUAAUUAUCGUGAGAAAAAGGAAUACGAUAAUAUUUUAAGCUGUCAAAUAAAAAAUACAUCAAACGAGAGAUCAAUCGUAUAUGUAAUUAUGUAAUUACGUUUCACACGGAAUAUUCUCUACAGUCUGAAUUGAGUUAUACUUAGACGCCGCUCGAAACCAUUUAUGCAGUCAUUAAGGCAUCAUUAAUCUUGACUCCGUUAUACGCGACAAGUCAUUGUUAGAAACAGGUGCUACUUCCUAGGUGGACGGGGUUAUUAGCCGAAUGAAUGAAAUAUAAAGAAAUCGACGGUAAAAAUCUCUGCUAGAAACGAACCGUGACUAGCAAUUAGCAAAUUCUGUAUCAAGAAAAAUGUAAUUUUGAUAAAGAAAU
This 2730-nucleotide long non-coding RNA is filed under the name Apis dorsata (giant honeybee). RNAcentral's name for it is "uncharacterized LOC102670894, transcript variant X2". Lineage: Eukaryota; Metazoa; Arthropoda; Insecta; Hymenoptera; Apidae. The record is from RNAcentral.